CCUACGGGUGGCUGCAGUGGGGAAUAUUGGACAAUGGGGGCAACCCUGAUCCAGCCAUGCCGCGUGUGUGAAGAAGGCCCUCGGGUUGUAAAGCACUUUCAGUGAGGAAGAACGCCUGGUGGUUAAUACCCAUCAGGAAAGACAUCACUCACAGAAGAAGCACCGGCUAACUCCGUGCCAGCAGCCGCGGUAAUACGGAGGGUGCGAGCGUUAAUCGGAAUUACUGGGCGUAAAGCGCGCGUAGGUGGCUUGAUAAGCCGGUUGUGAAAGCCCCGGGCUCAACCUGGGAACGGCAUCCGGAACUGUCAAGCUAGAGUGCAGGAGAGGAAGGUAGAAUUCCCGGUGUAGCGGUGAAAUGCGUAGAGAUCGGGAGGAAUACCAGUGGCGAAGGCGGCCUUCUGGACUGACACUGACACUGAGGUGCAAAAGCGUGGGUAGCAAACAGGAUUAGAUACCCUGGUAGUC
Molecule: ribosomal RNA, 465 nt
Filed under: Vreelandella stevensii
Lineage: Bacteria; Pseudomonadati; Pseudomonadota; Gammaproteobacteria; Oceanospirillales; Halomonadaceae
Description: partial 16S ribosomal RNA
Rfam family: Bacterial small subunit ribosomal RNA
Source: RNAcentral